CCUACGGGAGGCAGCAGUGAGGAAUAUUGGUCAAUGGGAGAGAUCCUGAACCAGCCAAGCCGCGUGAGGGAAGACGGCCCUAUGGGUUGUAAACCUCUUUUGUCGGAGAACAAAACCCGGGACGUGUCCCGGACUGCGUGUAUCCGAAGAAAAAGCAUCGGCGAACUCCGUGCCAGCAGCCGCGGUAAUACGGAGGAUGCGAGCGUUAUCCGGAUUUAUUGGGUUUAAAGGGUGCGUAGGCGGUCCUUUAAGUCAGCGGUAAAAUUUCUGGGCUCAACCCUGUCGAGGCGGUGAAACUGGGAGAUGUUAGUUGGCGAGAAGGACGCGGGAGGCGCGGUGGAGCGGGGGAAUGCA
Molecule: ribosomal RNA, 354 nt
Filed under: uncultured bacterium
Lineage: Bacteria
Description: partial 16S ribosomal RNA
Rfam family: Bacterial small subunit ribosomal RNA
Source: RNAcentral